Vicia villosa (hairy vetch) is the source of this 1533-nucleotide long non-coding RNA. RefSeq lists it as uncharacterized. The transcript is spliced from 2 exons. NCBI's taxonomy places the organism in Eukaryota, Viridiplantae, Streptophyta, Magnoliopsida, Fabales, Fabaceae. The record is from RefSeq and is a predicted model, not a curated record.
AAUCAUGGCAUUAUUUCAAUUAAUUACAAUUAACACAGAAAAAUUAAAAAGGAAGAGGAUUAGGGUUUACGUUUUAUGACUAUCAGACUCUCUUCUCCUCUCACGCGAAUGACGGCAGCCGGACCAUCCUUUCUCCGGCGAAGAUUCUCUCCGCGCCUCCGUGAGCGACGAGGUCGCCUCACUUCUCGUUCAUCUCUCCCGACUCCUCUCCGAUUUCAUUCUCUCUGCUCUCAAUCUCUCCGUACUCUCGGUUCUCGCAUCGAAUCACUCUGAAUCAAGCUCUCAUCGAACAAAGAUUGAUGAUGAUGUUAAUAAAGCGUCGUUGUUGUUCUUGUUGCGUGUAGCGACUAAUGUUGAAAUCGCAGAGAAUUGAAGGUGCGGGUGAACUGGCGAAUGCUUUUCUGAGUUAUUGUGAAGCAAAUCCGAAGGUCGACGAAGGUUUGGGAGAUCUUCUCAUUUUCCUUUUCUGAGUUUCUAAGGUUUUUUUUUUGCAGAUCGAUGGUGGUGAUUGACGUUGAGACGCGGUAAAGAUUGAUGAUAAACAGCAAUGGUGAUGAUUGAAGAGGUGAUGAAGAUGAUGAACACAGUUUCGAGAGAGGUGAAGAUGAUGAUUCCAGAACAGUUUGUUACCUUUCCGGUUCGGAGUUUGUUACAUUCUUCUUUUUCGUUUUUUUUCUUUCAUUCUUCGUUCUCUCUUUUUUCUGUUAUGGAUUCUGUUGCAAUUUUCUGUGACUUUUUGAAGAUUGAAAGCUGACACGAAGGUGAUGAUUAUGCUCUGAGGAAGGUGAAGAUUGGAUGAUUGCAGAUGAAGAAGUUAUGAAGGUGAAGAUUGAAGGUUAUGGUUGGAGGACAAUGCGAUGAAGAUGGAGGGAGAGAUGUUCGAUGAAGGUUCCCCGAUUCAGAAGUUUGUUGCACGGUUUGCUACAGGUUCUUCUUCAAUUCUCAAAUUCUGUUAUGCUCUUCCUCUUGAGCUUUUUCUGAGUUUUCGUUGAUGAAGAUUUGAAGUUGCAGCAAUCGAGAGAGAAAGAUGAAGAUUGAAGGAGAAUUGAUCGAUGGAGAUUCUAGAAGAAGAUUGAGCAAGAGAAAAAGUUUGUUACAGGUUUUUUCUGUCAAUUGGUGAAUGAAUGUUAUGGAGAUAGGCGAAAAGUUGUUGGUGAGAAAGAUGAAGAAGGUUGAAUUGAAGCGUUGAAGAAGAUGAUUCAGAGAGCGAGGUUCGGUUUUGUUCCAACGGGCUUUAGUUUAUUGUGUUGAAUUGAUACAAGCGGCGGGUCGGCCCUAUUGGUCAUCAAUACAUCAAUUGAAGAUACCACAAACCGUUUGAAGAUUUGGACUUAUUUAAGUAAUAGCUUUGGAUGUUGAGUUCUUCGUGAAAUUUCCAUGGAAUGCAACAUGAUUAGAUUUGAAAUGAGUAUAUGAACAUUGCAUGGUCUUGAAGAAAUGUGGACAUUUGAGUUUUUUUGAAAUGAAUUUGUAAUGGUGUAAAGGAUAUUUUUGAAUGCUUAAAAAAACGAUGGUGAACAUCUUGAAUUCCAA